GAGUGAUGAUAUUUAUAGUGAACAACAAUAUAUAAAAUAACAAAGAUGGUGCUUGAUUUGGUAAAUGAGUGGGUGAUCAUAGUGCUUGAUGAGUAGAUGAUCGUAGUGCUUGAGUUGGUAAAGGAGUGGAUGAUCAUUUCAAUGUUUAUCUUAUAACACUCCCCCUUGAUCAUCCAUCUUGUAUUACGUAGUGCCUCGUUAAAAACCUAGUCAUGGAAAACCCAAUGGAAAAAACCAUAGUAAGGUAAAACGAGUACAACUACGUAAACUCCCCCUCGAAUGAGCAAUCAUAGAUCCUUCUGAUGGCGCAUUCCAAUGUUAUGGACAUGUUUUCUGAAUACCGAGGUAGGUAGUGAUUUUGUGAAGAGGUCGGUUGCAUUGUCGCAUGAUCGAACAUAUCUUACUUCGAUCUCUUUAUUCUUCUCAAGCUCUUGAGUGUAUGAGAAGA
This 448-nucleotide long non-coding RNA is filed under the name Brassica napus (rape). RNAcentral describes it as "long non-coding RNA (BNAP_LNC013667)". The record is from RNAcentral. Lineage: Eukaryota; Viridiplantae; Streptophyta; Magnoliopsida; Brassicales; Brassicaceae.